RNAcentral lists this ribosomal RNA (181 nucleotides) under uncultured bacterium. Its description in RNAcentral is "partial 16S ribosomal RNA". It matches the Rfam family "Bacterial small subunit ribosomal RNA", at positions 354 to 527 of the family's 1533-position model. The record is from RNAcentral.
GUGAGGAAUAUUGGUCAAUGGUAGGCAAGUCUGAACCCAGCCAAGUACGCGUGCAGGAUGAACGGCCCUCUGGGUUGUAAACUGCUUUUAUUUGGGGAAUAAAUUGAGGGACGUGUCCCUUAUUGUAUGUACCAUAUGAAUAAGGACCGGCUAAUUCCAUGCCAGCAGCCGCGGUAAUACG